UCCCUAGUGGCUCAGUUGGUAAAGAAUCUGUCUGCAACAUAGGAGAACCAGGUUCGAUUCCUGGGUUGGGAA
This 72-nucleotide transfer RNA is filed under the name Bos taurus (domestic cattle). It matches the Rfam family "tRNA". Rfam says of the family: Transfer RNA (tRNA) molecules are approximately 80 nucleotides in length. Their secondary structure includes four short double-helical elements and three loops (D, anti-codon, and T loops). Lineage: Eukaryota; Metazoa; Chordata; Mammalia; Artiodactyla; Bovidae. The record is from Rfam by way of RNAcentral. RNAcentral also lists the same sequence under 4 other names.